AAGUCGUAGCGAACAGAUAAGGAGCUUGCUCCUUUGAAGUUAGCGGCGGACGGGUGAGUAACACGUGGGUAACCUACCUAUAAGACUGGGAUAACUUCGGGAAACCGGAGCUAAUACCGGAUAACAUUUAGAACCGCAUGGUUCUAAAGUGAAAGAUGGUUUUGCUAUCACUUAUAGAUGGACCCGCGCCGUAUUAGCUAGUUGGUAAGGUAACGGCUUACCAAGGCGACGAUACGUAGCCGACCUGAGAGGGUGAUCGGCCACACUGGAACUGAGACACGGUCCAGACUCCUACGGGAGGCAGCAGUAGGGAAUCUUCCGCAAUGGGCGAAAGCCUGACGGAGCAACGCCGCGUGAGUGAUGAAGGGUUUCGGCUCGUAAAACUCUGUUAUUAGGGAAGAACAAAUGUGUAAGUAACUGUGCACAUCUUGACGGUACCUAAUCAGAAAGCCACGGCUAACUACGUGCCAGCAGCCGCGGUAAUACGUAGGUGGCAAGCGUUAUCCGGAAUUAUUGGGCGUAAAGCGCGCGUAGGCGGUUUCCUUAAGUCUGAUGUGAAAGCCCACGGCUCAACCGUGGAGGGUCAUUGGAAACUGGGAAACUUGAGUGCAGAAGAGGAAAGUGGAAUUCCAUGUGUAGCGGUGAAAUGCGCAGAGAUAUGGAGGAACACCAGUGGCGAAGGCGACUUUCUGGUCUGUAACUGACGCUGAUGUGCGAAAGCGUGGGGAUCAAACAGGAUUAGAUACCCUGGUAGUCCACGCCGUAAACGAUGAGUGCUAAGUGUUAGGGGGUUUCCGCCCCUUAGUGCUGCAGCUAACGCAUUAAGCACUCCGCCUGGGGAGUACGACCGCAAGGUUGAAACUCAAAGGAAUUGACGGGGACCCGCACAAGCGGUGGAGCAUGUGGUUUAAUUCGAAGCAACGCGAAGAACCUUACCAAAUCUUGACAUCCUUUGAAAACUCUAGAGAUAGAGCCUUCCCCUUCGGGGGACAAAGUGACAGGUGGUGCAUGGUUGUCGUCAGCUCGUGUCGUGAGAUGUUGGGUUAAGUCCCGCAACGAGCGCAACCCUUAAGCUUAGUUGCCAUCAUUAAGUUGGGCACUCUAGGUUGACUGCCGGUGACAAACCGGAGGAAGGUGGGGAUGACGUCAAAUCAUCAUGCCCCUUAUGAUUUGGGCUACACACGUGCUACAAUGGACAAUACAAAGGGCAGCUAAACCGCGAGGUCAUGCAAAUCCCAUAAAGUUGUUCUCAGUUCGGAUUGUAGUCUGCAACUCGACUACAUGAAGCUGGAAUCGCUAGUAAUCGUAGAUCAGCAUGCUACGGUGAAUACGUUCCCGGGUCUUGUACACACCGCCCGUCACACCACGAGAGUUUGUAACACCCGAAGCCGGUGGAGUAACCAGUUAUG
Molecule: ribosomal RNA, 1409 nt
Filed under: Staphylococcus xylosus
Lineage: Bacteria; Bacillati; Bacillota; Bacilli; Caryophanales; Staphylococcaceae
Description: bacterial SSU rRNA
Rfam family: Bacterial small subunit ribosomal RNA
Source: RNAcentral